GGACCUGGGCUAGCUCAGUCGUUAGAGCAUGAGAUUCUUAAUCUCAGGGCCAUGGGUUCGAGCCCCACAUUGGCCA
This is a non-coding RNA of Podarcis lilfordi (Lilford's wall lizard), 76 nucleotides long. The record is from the annotation of a GenBank genome assembly. NCBI's taxonomy places the organism in Eukaryota, Metazoa, Chordata, Lepidosauria, Squamata, Lacertidae.